UGGGGAAUUUUGGACAAUGGGGGAAACCCUGAUCCAGCCAUCCCGCGUGUGCGUUGAAGGCCUUCGGGUUGUAAAGCACUUUUGGCAGGAAAGAAACGUCAUGGGUUAAUACCCCGUGAACCUGACGGUACCUGCAGAAUAAGCACCGGCUAACUACGUGCCAGCAGCCGCGGUAAUACGUAGGGUGCAAGCGUUAAUCGGUAUUACUGUGCGUAAAGCGUGCGCAGGCGGUUCGGAAAGAAAGAUGUGAAAUCCCAGAGCUCAAGUUUGGAAAGGCAUUUAUAACUGCCGGGCUAGAGGGGGUCAGAGGGGGGGGCAAUUCCGCGUGUAGCAGUAAAGUGCAUAGAUAUGCGAAGAAACACCGAUGGCGAAGGCAGCCUCCUGGGAUAACACUAACGCUAAUGCAAGAAAGGGUGGUGAGCAAACGGG
RNAcentral lists this ribosomal RNA (429 nucleotides) under Acidobacteriota bacterium. RNAcentral describes it as "Acidobacteria bacterium partial 16S ribosomal RNA". It matches the Rfam family "Bacterial small subunit ribosomal RNA", at positions 355 to 776 of the family's 1533-position model. The record is from RNAcentral. Lineage: Bacteria; Pseudomonadati; Acidobacteriota.